Molecule: ribosomal RNA, 2460 nt
Filed under: Triticum aestivum (bread wheat)
Lineage: Eukaryota; Viridiplantae; Streptophyta; Magnoliopsida; Poales; Poaceae
Description: partial small subunit ribosomal RNA
Source: RNAcentral
AUGUGGAGCAGUUCUGCGAGUUUUCGGGCUAAGGAGAAGCUGGAGCUCGUGCACGGAGACCUGUGCGGUCCGGUGACGCCAGCCACACCAGGAGGUCGACGCUACUUCCUGCUGCUCGUCGACGAUCUCUCCCGCUACAUGUGGGUGAUGAUCCUCGGCAGUAAGGGAGAAGCGGCGGACGCCAUCAGGCGCGCGCAGGUUGGUGUGGAGGCGGAGAGCGGCCGCAAAUUGCGCGUGUUGCGCACUGACAACGGCGGCGAGUUCACGGCGGCUGAAUUCGCGUCGUACUGCGCCGAUGAGGGCAUCCAGCGCCACUACUCCGCGCCGUACAGCCCGCAGCAAAACGGCGUCGUCGAGCGGCGCAACCAGACGGUUGUGGGGAUGGCUCGGGCUCUCCUCAAGCAGAGAGGGAUGCCGGCUGUCUUCUGGGGAGAGGCGGUGCUAACGGCCGUCUACAUCCUCAACCGCUCUCCUACUAAGGCACUCGACGGCAGAACUCCGUACGAGGCCUGGCAUGGGCGGAAGCCGGCGGUCUCUCAUUUGCGGGUCUUUGGCUACCUUGCGUUCGCCAAGGAGCUCGGCCACAUCGGCAAGCUCGACGACAGGAGCACUCCGGGAGUCUUCAUCGGCUACGCGGAGGGCUCAAAGGCCUACCGCAUCCUCGACCCAAAGACACAACGUGUGCGCACAGCGCGAGACGUCGUGUUCAACGAAGGGCGAGGGUGGCAAUGGGACAAGGCGGUGGACGACGGCUCGACGCCGACGUAUGACGACUUCAUUGUCGAGUACGCUCACUUCAAGGAAGCUGGGGGACCGGCGACGCCGCAUACUCCAGCCCCGGCGGUCGCCACUCCGGGCUCGUCUUCAUCAGCACCAGCUCACGCAGAGCACAACCCGAUGAAGUUCGCUUCCCCGCUCACUCAAGACGAGGAGCAGGUCGACGCAUGGUAUGGAGGCGAACCGCUGCGGUACCGUACGAUGGAUAAUGUGCUCGGCGACCAGCCGGUGCCAGGACUGGUGCCACGUGACCUGGAGGCGCAGCUACAGCUCGUGUGUGAAGACGGCGAACCACGGUCCUUUGCAGAGGCCGAGAGAGACGCGGCAUGGCGCGCCGCGAUGAAGUUGGAGAUGGAUGCGGUCGAGCAAAACCGCACCUGGGAGCUUGCUGAUCUCCCUCGAGGUCACCGCGCAAUCACCCUUAAGUGGGUGUUCAAGCUGAAGAGGGAUGGAGCCGGCGCCAUCAUCAAGCACAAGGCUCGUUUGGUGGCCCGAGGCUUCUUGCAGCAGGAAGGAGUCGACUUCGACGACGCUUUCGCUCCCGUGGCACGGAUGGAGUCCUCGGCAUUCCUCAAUGGUGACUUGAAGGAGGAAGUCUACGUGCAUCAGCCACCGGGGUUUACGAUUCCCGGCCAGGAGGGCAAGGUGCUCCGCCUGCGCAAGGCUCUCUAUGGCCUGCGGCAGGCACCCAGGGCGUGGAACGCCAAGCUGGACUCCACGCUGAAGAAGAUGGGUUUCGAGCAGAGCCCGCAUGAGGCUGCCGUCUACCGACGGGGGAGUGGAGGAAAUGCCCUGCUGGUGGGCGUCUACGUUGACGACCUGGUGAUCACCGGCACCAAAGGUGCAGAGGUGGCGGCGUUCAAGGAAGACAUGAAGGCCACGUUCCAGAUGAGUGACCUGGGGCUCCUCUCCUUCUAUCUAGGGAUUGAGGUGCACCAGGACCACUCCGGGAUCGCGCUUCGACAGUCCGCCUACGCCAAGCGCAUCGUUGAGCUAGCUGGGCUCACCGACUGCCAUCCAGCUCUCACUCCGAUGGAGGAGAGGCUGAAACUAAGCCGCGACAGCACGACGGAGGAAGUGGAUGCUACGCAGUACCGACGCCUUGUGGGGAGCCUUCGCUACCUCACUCACACACGGCCGGACUUGGCAUUCUCCGUCGGCUAUGUCAGUCGGUGUCCUGGGGCGGCACACUUCGUCGGGUACAGCGACAGCGACCACGCCGGCGACAUCGACACCAGCAAGAGCACGAGCGGGAUCCUCCUCUUCCUCGGCAAGUGUCUCGUGAGCUGGCAAUCAGUCAAGCAGCAGGUGGUGGCCCUGUCCAGCUGUGAGGCUGAGUACAUAGCGGCCUCCACCGCCUGUACUCAGGCGCUCUGGCUUGCUCGACUACUUGGUGAUCUUCUCGUUCAAGACACCAGAACGGUGCAGCUCCUGGUGGACAGCAAGUCCGCCCUGGCCCUGGCAAAGAACCCCGUGUUCCACGAACGGAGCAAGCACAUCCGACUGAGGUAUCACUUCAUCCGCAGCUGUGUGGAAGAAGGGAGCAUCGAGGCGAGCUACAUCAACACCAAGGAUCAGCUCGCAGACCUGCUCACCAAGCCCCUUGGGAGGGUCAAGUUCCUCGAACUUUGCUCCAGGAUUGGGAUGAUUCAACUCUCCCACAAGACGACGUACAAGACUUAG